This 266-nucleotide unclassified non-coding RNA is filed under the name rhizosphere metagenome. RNAcentral's name for it is "partial ribosomal RNA internal transcribed spacer region". The record is from RNAcentral.
GUAGGUGAACCUGCGGAAGGAUCAUUAACGAGUUUGAAAAGAGUUGUAGCUGGCCUUCCGAGGCAAUGUGCACACUCUGCUCAUCCACAUACACCUGUGCACAUCGAUAGUCUUUUUUUUGAAGAGGGGGAAAAUAGCCCUUUGGGUGAAAAGUCCCCCCCUCCUUAGAAAAGCUAUUUUUACACACAUACACUUUUAGUUAAGAAUGUAUCUAUUGCUAUAAAACGCAUUAAAUAUAACUUUCAACAACGGAUCUCUUGGCUCUC